UAGACUAAGGUACUCUGACACUUGAUGU
RNAcentral lists this non-coding RNA (28 nucleotides) under Rattus norvegicus (Norway rat). The record is from RNAcentral. Lineage: Eukaryota; Metazoa; Chordata; Mammalia; Rodentia; Muridae.